This 497-nucleotide ribosomal RNA is filed under the name uncultured bacterium. Its description in RNAcentral is "bacterial SSU rRNA". It matches the Rfam family "Bacterial small subunit ribosomal RNA", at positions 22 to 518 of the family's 1533-position model. The record is from RNAcentral.
GGUCAGGAUGAACGCUGGCGGCGUGCCUAACACAUGCAAGUCGAGCGGAGUUAACAAGAGGAAGUUUCGGAUGGAAUUUGUAAUUAGCGGCGGACGGGUGAGUAACGCGUGAGCGACCAACCUUGCACAGGGGGGAUAACGGACCGAAAGGUUCACUAAUACCGCAUGAGACCACGGUGUUGCAUGACACAGAGGUCAAAGGAGCAAUCCGGUGCAAGACGGGCUCGCGUCCGAUUAGGUAGUUGGUGGGGUAAUGGCCCACCAAGCCUAUGAUCGGUAGCCGACCUGAGAGGGUGAUCGGCCACAUUGGAACUGAGAUACGGUCCAAACUCCUACGGGAGGCAGCAGUGGGGAAUAUUGGGCAAUGGGGGGAAACCCUGACCCAGCAACGCCGCGUGAAGGAAGAAGGUUUUCGGAUUGUAAACUUCUGUCCUUGGUGAAGAGAAGAAGACGGUAGCCAAGGAGGAAGCCCCGGCUAACUACGUGCCAGCCGCAGC